RNAcentral lists this long non-coding RNA (1823 nucleotides) under Mus musculus (house mouse). Its description in RNAcentral is "predicted gene, 48025". The record is from RNAcentral. Lineage: Eukaryota; Metazoa; Chordata; Mammalia; Rodentia; Muridae.
GAUUUUUUAAAUAGCAGUGAUUCAUUUAUUGUCUACUGGUUUUGCUGUUGGUCAUGGGGCAGGAAUACAUUCUUACUAUUACAUUUUGUGAUUCACAUUUUCAGUUCUUGGGUAAGAAGCCAUUUGCCAGUAAGACUCUGUCAAAGUCAGUGCCUCUCGUCGGGGUUCAUUGGGGCUUGAUACAACAUGCACUUCUGCAUUGUUCGAAGGACACAGAUCGCUACGCUCGGCCCCUAGAUUUGGCCAAGAGUGGAACACAUGGAGGUCUAGACAGAGUGACUAUACUGCCCUGCUCAAGAGCUAAAACAUCGUCAAGAAAGCAAGUCAAGUUCAUAAGGAAUUAUCUAGCAAAAUUGUUUCCAAUCAGAGAGAACCUCGAGCUACUGGUUGGGGAGCUCGGUGCAUUCUUGUUUCCAUUUGAAGCUCCUUGGCAAGCCGUUGCUUGGCGGUCCAGCCAUUUCCUUCUGGUAUCAGCUGGCCACACACUUCUGCUGUGGACUCAGAAUGGAGGAGAGUCGACAGGUACUGUGUGUCAGCAGCCUGUUUCUAGAGCAACCCCCUCACCCACCUCCACCCCCACCCUCACCCAACGUCCUUCCUUUUCUAUAAACAUUUGUCAGCCAGACUCAGAGGGCACAGAGUGGAUGCUCAAGCAGGAAAAUCAAAGCCACAGCAGUCCGAAGUGAAGGUAAACGGUGCCACUAAGAUCUGGCUGCAAGCCAGACAUUGGGAACCAGGUUCAGGCUUGACGGAAUGCCUCUAAGCUAUAGGAGGAUGGAGGGGGUCAGGUUUGCUGAACAAGGGGAAAUAAUUCUGAGCACACUGUGCGAGUGGCCAAAAUCAAGACUAUCAAGGCUCUGGGUGAUUUAGCUUACAGCGGCCACUGACUAAAACACAGUCAGCUUUCUGUCUUCUUUUUUUUCCCCCACACCUUACGGUAAAGGGAGGAAGGAUGGUCUAGAAGGUGGCCAGGGCUCACAGCAAGCCAAGAUGACCACAGGGACUUUCUCAUUUACCUGUGGUGGUCGGUGGCAGUUUUUCUUGUGAUGUUGGAUUUGAUAGGCAUCAGCCAACCUUGCAGUUGUUCUUUGACAACUUUUAUUAUUUUCUUCUCCAACAUAGUAUUUCUAUUAAUUAUCUGGGAAUUUUGUACAACGCACCCUGUGAUGGUUUGAUAUGCUUGGCCCAGGGAGUGGCACUAUUAGAAGGUGUAGCCCUGUUGGAGUGGGUGUGGUCUUGUUGGAGUAGGUGUGUCACUGUGGGUGUGGGCUUUAAGACCUUUAUCCUAGCUUUCUGGAAGUCAGUAUUCUGCUGACAGCCUUCAGAUGAAGACGUAGAACUCUCAGUUCUUCCUGCACCACGCCUGCCUGGAUGCUGCCAUGCUCCCGCCUUGAUGAUAAUGGACUGAACAUGUGAACCUGUAAGCCAGCCCCAAAUAAAUGUUGUCCUCAUAAGACUUGCCUUGGUCAUGGUGUCUGCUCACAGCAGGAAAACCCUAACUAAAACACCCCAAUCACACUAGCUUUGUAUUCCUUCCAGAUCUAUCCUUCUACCCCCAUACCCCUCAAUACCCCCCAAAAGAAAAACAGAGAGAGAAAAAAAUAUAUGUAACCCAGUGUUACCUAUAUACUCAUUAGAGCAUUGUCACACUCCCAGUGGCCAGGUCCUUAAAGAAAACUGAGUCAUUCCCCUGCUACUCGGCCCCACCCCACCCCAUUCCUGCCAAGAUCUUUUAAAUCAAGGAAUAAUCGCUGCCUCUUGCAUAAGGUCCAGCAAUCCCAGUAUAGGAUGGCUCCUUUACAUGGACCAUGUUUCCUCUCUCC